Molecule: long non-coding RNA, 236 nt
Filed under: Zostera marina
Lineage: Eukaryota; Viridiplantae; Streptophyta; Magnoliopsida; Alismatales; Zosteraceae
Description: long non-coding RNA (ZMAR_LNC000754)
Source: RNAcentral
CAAGAGCGAGCAUGUGCAGAGGUGAGUGAAUUCAGAAUUGAAUGAGUUUAAUCAAUGAAAACCCAACAAGCCAGCCAGCCAGCCAACUAUCCAGCCAACCUGUAUAUGUUAAUGGGUGGUGAUGGGGCCUCCACGUUGAGGAUUUCUGGCUUAUUCCGUCCAUGGUGUCGGCUGUAGGCGGAGAAGAAAGAACAGUACUGCAAGGUAUGUAAAUAAUGGAGCAUUGUACAAUAGAC